UACGUAGGGAGCGAGCGUUGUUCGGAUUUACUGGGCGUAAAGGGCAGGUAGGCGGGCGUGUUAGUCGGUUGUGAAAUCCUCUGGCUCAACUAGAGAAUGGCAGCCGAAACUGCACGUCUUGAGUCCAGCAGAGGGAAUCGGAAUCCUAGGUGUAGCGGUGAAAUGCGUAGAUAUCUAGGAGAACACCAGUGGCGAAGGCGGAUUCCUGGGCUGGUACUGACGCUGAGCUGCGAAAGCGUGGGGAGCGAACAGG
Molecule: ribosomal RNA, 253 nt
Filed under: uncultured bacterium
Lineage: Bacteria
Description: partial 16S ribosomal RNA
Rfam family: Bacterial small subunit ribosomal RNA
Source: RNAcentral